UUUUUUUUUUUUUCACCAGUCAUCACAUCUCAUUUAUCUGUUUCUCUUUGUCAAUUGAACUCCCUUACUCGCACAGCUCGUUUAUUUCUAGCUUAUAAUGGAACUAUGGCACUUGGUGCAGCACUAAUUUAACAUCUUUUUCAUUUUUUUAAUUAUUUAUCAUUUUAUUAUUCAUAAUUAUCAUCGUCUAUAAUCUUUCUUCAGAAUUAAUAAUAUUAUUAUUAUUAUUAUUAGUAUUAUUAUUAUUAUUAUUACUAUUAUUUAGUAGUAGUAGCUCUUGCUUGAAAUACGCUUUGAAAAUGAAAAUGAAUUAUAAAUUACACGACACACUUAUAGUAAUUAAUAAAUCAGUGCGCUUUAACGUCAUAUAUGGUACAGAUAUUUUAUUACAAGGUAAUACAGGCAAAUUUUAUUUCAUUAUUUAUAUUAUUAAACUGCUUAAUAGUUAUUUAUUUUAAUUUAUUUGACGUGAGUCGACUUUUUCACACGAUCGCAUCAAGAUUACACAUCAUAUGCUUUUAAUAUAUUAAUUAUUAAACUAUUAUUAUUAUUAUUUUGCUGUUGGAGUUUGCAGUAGGCAGUGUUGAGUUUAUUUUUUUUUUUGCUGACACUUCGGAAGACUUUAAAUAAGAUUUCUAACGGAUCUCCGAUGCGAUCUAAAUUAUGUGGAAGAGUCAAGAGUCAAUUUAUCUUAUUUUUUUUUUUUUAUCUAUCUUUAUACUGUCUCUAUUCAAUUAAAAAUUUUGCCUGAAUCGCCUUUAAGACACUAUCUUAAUUAAUAAAAACUGUACUGUACAAGUCAACAAGACGAUUUUAUUUCUUUUAUUAAAUUGUAAAAUGCACUACAAAGCUAAUUUUCUUUAUUAUUUAUUUUAAAUUAUUUCUGUAGGCCUGUUUGCAUUGGACUAUUUUCAAAAUUAAUAAUUUUGUUUAUCUGCUUCUGUUUUUUAUGUUCUUUUUAUUAAUGAGAGAAACGUUUUACUUUAAAUUUAUUAAAACACAAAUUUAUUUUAUUUUCUCGUAUAAUUUUUUUUAUUUAAAUUUAAAAUUUAUAAAAAGAAAGUUAAUAAUGGAAAUUAUGAACACGGAUAAAACGACGAUCUAUAAAUAAGGAUCGAAGAGUUAUAAUUUAUUUGUGUGAACAAUAUAUAUCAAUGCGAGGUUUUACAAUGGAUUAACACUUUUUGCGCAUUAUCAUUGUCAUUAUUACAUUUGUUCCUUUCUUUCAUUCUUUGUCAUUAUUAAUUCAUUGCUAGAAUCUCAUCAAAUUGUUCACACAUACCGCGAUGAUGAUAAAAGCUCUCGUGGAAUAUUUAAUAACACAGAUGCGAAAAAAAUCCAUGUAGUGCAUGCAUGUAAUUAAUCUUUCGUUCACUUUCAAAUAUUUAUAUCAUUUUAUUUUAUUUUUAUUUACCUCACUAGUUCUUUAUUAUUCAUUUAAAUAUAAAUGGAACAAGAAUUUCAAUUAAUCACUAUCUAAAUAUUUCAUAGCAUUUAAAUUAUUGCUGUAUUGGAUUUUUCAAUCCACUGUACACUUUUAUAAAUAAUACCGCCAUUAUUUACGACAAAAAUGAAAUUAAAUUAGUAUUUUGUAAUGAAAAAAACAAAAAAAAAAAAACAUUAUUAUUUUAAAUAAAAGUUACGUUAUUGUAAAAUUAUAUUAAAAGAAUAGAGAAAUAUCGUAUACAAGUUCUCUGAAGGAUAGAAAAAUAAAGAUAUUAAUUAAGAAUAUAUAUAUAUGCAUAUAUAUAUAUUUUUUUUAGUAUUAUUUUUUUAAUAAUAAUAAUAAUAGUAUUAUAAUCGAUACGUUAUUUAUAUGUACUUAGAAUUAUGUAUAUAUUUAUAUAUAGUGUGUUCGCAUGUGUGAUUAUUAUAAUUAUUACAUAUAUAAAUAUAAAUAUAUAUUUAUAUAUAUAAUAGUUUAAGUGUAGUGGAGAAGUUGUGGCGACAGAUUAAUUAUGUACAGAAUACAAGUAAACAUCAACCUUUCUUUUUUUUGCCUUAUCAUUUUCUUUAAUUCACAUAAUUAUUAAAUUUUAAAAACCACAAAUCGUUUAAUUAUUAUUUUAAUUCGUGGACGAGUGUAUGAAUGUGAUUCACAAUUUCUUACUGCUAUAUGUUAUAUUGUUUAUUCGUUGAACAAAAAAAAAUUUACUUUAGUUUAUUUUAUUUUAUAAAAUAAUAAUAUUAAUGUUAAUAAUAAUAAUAAUGAUAAUGAUAGUAAUAAUAAUAGUAAAUUAAUAUUAAAAUACGAAUACACAAAAAACUAUGGCAACUAUACGGUAGUAAUGGCAAGUAUGAAUUGACGUACAAAAAAAAUACAAAAUACAAAUGACAUGUGACAUUGACAUAAACUUAAUAAAAUUGUUUUGUAAUUUUUAAAUAAUUUGUUUUUUUUUUUUUUUUUUUUUUAAUAAUGUCAUUUACAAUAGAUGCGAUAAAUAUAAUGGAUAUAAGAAUAAAAUAAACAUUAAUUAAUAAAAUGUGGAUGAUAAUAAUAAUGAUAAUGAUGAUGUUAAUGAUGGGGAGGUGCGACGUACAACGCGUCAAACAAAAGGCAGUUUCAAAACGAUUAUUUAUUUAUAAUUUUUUUGUCAUUAUUAUUAUUAUUACUAUUAAUUUUUUUUUUAAACCUUUCCAGAGAAUACUAUUUAUUUAUUACAGUCUUACUUGUUUCUUUAGACUUAAUACAUUAGUUUUAUCCAUUUACAAUAAUAUUUUAUCGUUCUAAAAUAUUAUUGUUUUUUUUUUUUACUGUUGUUUUACAACAUUUAAUCGAUCACUUUAUUUUUUUUUUUUUUAACCAAUUAACAGGUUGGUUAGUCCAGAGGCUUUUUUUUUGUUUGCUGUUGACCUCGGAAAGUCAAUAGUUUUCGCGAGGUACAUAAAAAAACUGGGAAAAACUUAAAAACAAAACGAAAAAAAAAAAAAUAUUAAAAUGAAAUGGACAACUUAAAUACAACAGGCUCACGUUAAUUAAAACUAAUCUAUAAAAAAAAAAAAAAAUAAUAAUAAUAAUAAUAAAAAAUAUUUAAAACACAUGUAACAAUACGAAAUACAUAUAUUCUAAAAUUGUGCUACAGCCGUAAACAUUCACUAAAAUAUAAUUAAUGGAAGUCCAUUUUUAUUUAUUACUUUUUUUUUAUAUAUCAUUAAUAUUCAAAUUAAUUAUAUUCAUAAUCAUACGAAGCGCAUAUCUAGAUUAAUGGUAUUUUAAUGACGAAAAAAAAAAAAAAAAAAAUAGAAUAAAUAAAAUAAAAAAAUGCAAAUGGUUUUAAGGGAAUGUAUAUUAGUAGAUCAUGAUGUUGGAAGAUCAAAAUGUAAUCUUUAUGUUUAUAUUAUCGGUUUUGUGAUAUUUUAUUUAUUUAUUUAUAUUUGGCUGUAGCACGAAACAAAUUUUUUUCAUUUUUAUUUUUAAUAGCAUUAUUCAACACUCUUCGAAACGACAUUAAGCGCAAUAACGUCAAAACCACAGGAAAAAAUAGUUAUAAUAAGAGCAACUGUAGCAGUUGCAUUUCAGUUGUUGAAUAAUAAAAAAAAAAAAAAAAAAAAGAAAAAAAAAAUAGAAGAAAAUGUCGCAGAUCACCAAGUUUUUUAGAAUGUCAGGCCAAGCGAGACAUACCUGUGAUUUUAUAUAGAAUUUAACCACGUCAUACAUUUGUGUCGGUAUAAAUGUGAGAACGAGAACGAGAACAUUUAUAGUGUAUUAUAUAUUUAUACAUAUAUGUAUAUGUACGAGUACAUACGCAUGAGCCGUCACAAUUGGUGAACAAAUGACAAAAUAUGAUAGUAGUAUUGAAUUGCGUGAUAAUAACAAAUUAAUAACAGUCAUUUCGUGCGAUGACACACUUAUCACAUUUUAUACAGUUUCUUUUUCUAUCCGUGACUGACAAAUACAUAAAAAAAAAAAAAAAAGAAUAAAAAAUACCCGAUCGAUUUGUCGCAUCGAGACAAUAUUUUAAUAAUAAUGAUAAUAAUAAUAUAAUGAAACACGAAUGAAAACAAGGUAACCACACGAAAUAACUUUAGUCUAUUUAAAAAUCACCUAGCAUUUACGUGAAUCAGAUUUAUGUCGGAAUAAUAACUUCAAUUCAACAUUUAUCUUUUGUGUGAUGACAUGUAUGAUUUGAUCAAAAAUUUUACACACAAAAAAAUCAUCAGAAUCACUUGAAGUACUAAAGUCUUAAUGUUAAACAUUAAAGAAAAAAUAAAAUAUUUUGGUACGUAAAAUAGGGUCUCGAAACCUGACUUAAAGUCAUAUUUUAAUUAACAAUAAUUCAAAAAAAUAUCAAUAAUCAAAUUACUGUCAAAAGUCCAAAUUAUUUAAAAAAGUUAUUCUAUGCGAACGAGGAUCGAGAUGUGUAGCGUAAUUGACAGAGGCAAAGAGGUAUAGUACCCGAGGAUAUUUCUCGUAUUCGCUAAUUUUUUUUAUCCCACCCUCUCAUUCGUUCUUCCGGUGGGCUAAAAUAACUUUUACAAAAUAUAAUUAAAAGGGAAAGCUAAAAUUCAAAACUCACGCUAACUCUCAUCUCGCUCGCGUCGUCGACAUUAUUAUUAUGUUUUUUCUUCAUUUUUUAUUAUUAUUAUUAUUAUUUUUUUUUUUUUUUGAAUAACUAUUAUACAGUAUCAUGCUCUGUAUGCAGAGUAUGGUCAUUCCUUUUUUUUAUUUUUUAAUUAUUCUUAUUAAAAACUUAUUCUUAAUUUAUUUUCAUUUUAUUAUGCACUUCGCCCUUGGGCAGUUUAAGACCAUCACACUUUUAGAAUUGGUGUUUUCAAAUGAUUAUUAAUUUUUUUUCUUUUGUUAUUUCUUAUCAAUGUUUUAGUAUUUAUUUUUCUCGUUUUCGGUAUAGUUUAGUUUACUUCAAUUCAUUUAGCUUUUUAUUUUUUUUUUUUUGUUGAUGCGUGACCUCUUUACAAGUAUGGAUCAACGUACGUACGAAUAUAUAUAUCGUCUACAGAUUUAUUUUCACACGCGUUGAUUAUAUUUUUAUCUAAUAAUUUUUUUUUGAUUAAUCUGAGUGUGUAAAUCGCAUUAUAGAAAACACAUUAAACACUCCUGGGACUAAUUUGUAAAAUUAAAAGUUAUUUACGAUUUAAUCUCAGUUGCUCGUAAAUUUUUUUUUUCCAUCGAAUGUAAAUUAAAAAAAAAACAAGAAAAAAAAUACGUUCGAUAGUUCUUAAUAGAUAUUGUUAUUAUUUAAAUAAUAGUCCUAAUUACUUAAAAAAAAAACGUCAAUACAUAAUCACAAGUAUUACAUACACUUAAAUUUUAAAUAUAUAUAUGAUUAUUUAAAAUUUAUUGUUUAUAAAUCAAUCAUUCAUUCCUACAAACAUCCACGAGUGUGCGCGUAAUUUCGCUCCUUGAAUCUCAUUUAUCAUUAUCAAUUACUGGGAACAACUUUCAUUAAAAAUGUUUAUGUACUAAUCACUCCCUGAUUUCAUCAAUCGAUUAUUCUGUUGAUCAGUUAGUUAUCUUUUUUUUUUUUUUUUUUAAUAGAACCUUUUACACAAUAUAGCUGUGGCAGUGUAUUAUAUACAUAAUAUUGGCUCAACACGAGGCAUUCACGAGUUGAUCAAAUAAUAUCGAUGAUAUCAAUUAAUUGAUAGAACACAAGAAAAAAUAUUUUACCGACAUAAUAAAUGUGUUCUCACAAACAUUGACGCAAUCGCAUGAGCGCAUAAGAACGAAUGGAACAAAAAUAAAUAUAAAAUAAAAUUGACACAAUG
Long non-coding RNA from Microplitis demolitor, 5727 nucleotides. RefSeq lists it as uncharacterized. The record is from RefSeq and is a predicted model, not a curated record. NCBI's taxonomy places the organism in Eukaryota, Metazoa, Arthropoda, Insecta, Hymenoptera, Braconidae. The transcript has 3 exons.